This 429-nucleotide ribosomal RNA is filed under the name Chloroflexota bacterium. Its description in RNAcentral is "Chloroflexi bacterium partial 16S ribosomal RNA". It matches the Rfam family "Bacterial small subunit ribosomal RNA", at positions 355 to 776 of the family's 1533-position model. Lineage: Bacteria; Bacillati; Chloroflexota. The record is from RNAcentral.
UGGGGAAUAUUGCACAAUGGGCGCAAGCCUGAUGCAGCCAUGCCGCGUGUAUGAAGAAGGCCUUCGGGUUGUAAAGUACUUUCAGCGGGGAGGAAGGGAGUAAAGUUAAUACCUUUACUCAUUGACGUUACCCGCAGAAGAAGCACCGGCUAACUCCGUGCCAGCAGCCGCGGUAAUACGGAGGGUGCAAGCAUUAAUCGGAAUUACUGGGCGUAAAGAGCACGCAGGCGGUUGGUUAAGUCAGAUGUGAAAUCCCCGGGCUCAACCUGGGAACUGCAUCUGAUACUGGCAAGCUUGAAUCUCGUAGAGGGGGGUAGAAUUCCGGGUGUAGCGGUGAAAUGCGUAGAGAUCAGGAGGAAUACCGGUGGCGAAGGCGGCCCCCUGGACGAAGACUGACGCUCAGGUGCGAAAGCGUGGGGAGCAAACAGG